GAGGUUGUAGCUCAGUGGUAGAGCUCCUGCCUAGAUGUGUGAGGCCCUGGGUUCAAUCCUCAGCACCACA
This 70-nucleotide transfer RNA is filed under the name Marmota monax (woodchuck). RNAcentral's name for it is "tRNA.Undet". Lineage: Eukaryota; Metazoa; Chordata; Mammalia; Rodentia; Sciuridae. The record is from RNAcentral.